Molecule: long non-coding RNA, 244 nt
Filed under: Homo sapiens (human)
Lineage: Eukaryota; Metazoa; Chordata; Mammalia; Primates; Hominidae
Description: HSALNT0340404
Source: RNAcentral
GCCAUCCUCCCACCUAAGCCUCCCGAAGAGCUAAGACCACAGCAAGGAUCAGGCAUUGUAACAGCCUCAUGAAGUUGUGAAGAUUAAACGAAGUGACACAUGUGAAUCAUUGAGGACAAUGCUGGGCAAAUAAUGCAGAGAUUCUUUUCUGCAGCUCAGACACCAGCCAGAAGAACCUGUAAGGUGGUUGGAGCGCUUGUGAUGCUCUCUGUUUUGUGGAUUAGAAGAUGGAGGUACAGAGGCU